This 422-nucleotide ribosomal RNA is filed under the name uncultured bacterium. Its description in RNAcentral is "partial 16S ribosomal RNA". It matches the Rfam family "Bacterial small subunit ribosomal RNA", at positions 361 to 775 of the family's 1533-position model. The record is from RNAcentral.
AUUUUGCCCAACGGUGGAAGCCCUGAUCCAGCGAUCCCGCGUGUAUGAUGAGGGCUUUCGUUUGGUGAAGUACGUUCGGCGGGGGGGAUAAGGCGCCGGCUAAAACCUUCCGAGGCUGACGCUAUCUUCAGACUAAAUACCGGUUAACUACUUUCCAGCAGCUGCGGUAAUACUUAGGUCGCAAGCGUUAAUCGGAAUUACUGGGCGUAAAGCGUGCGCAGGCGGUUCGGAAAGAAAAAUGUGAAAUGCCAGGGCAUAACCUUAGAACUGCAUGUUUAACUGCCGGGCUAGAGUAUGUCAGAGGGAGGUAGAAUUCCACGUGUAGCAGUGAAAUGCGUAGAGAUGUGGAGGAAUACCGAUGGCGAAGGCAGCACCCUGGGAUAAUACUGACGCUCAUGCACGAAAGCGUGGGGAGCAAACAG